UACCCGCGGCCCGAGUGGUGGUCGAUAUUAUUGAGCCUAAAACGUCCGUAGCCGGUCUUGUAAAUCCUUGGGUAAAUCGACCAGCUUAACUGUUCGAAGUCCGGGGAGACUGCAAGACUUGGGAUCGGGAGAGGUGAGAGGUACUUCUGGGGUAGGGGUAAAAUCCUGUAAUCCUAGAAGGACCACCGGUGGCGAAGGCGUCUCACUAGAACGAAUCCGACGGUGAGGGACGAAGCCCUGGGGCGCAAACGGGAUUAGAUACCCCGGUAGUCCAGGGUGUAAACGCUGCGGGCUUGGUGUUGGGGGUCCUUUGAGGGCGCCCAGUGCCGGAGAGAAGUUGUUAAGCCUGCUGCUUGGGGAGUACGUCCGCAAGGAUGAAACUUAAAGGAAUUGGCGGGGGAGCACCGCAACGGGAGGAGCGUGCGGUUCAAUUGGAUUCAACGCCGGACAACUCACCAGGAGCGACGGUUACAUGAAGGCCAGGCUGAUGACCUUGCCUGAUUUUCC
This 507-nucleotide ribosomal RNA is filed under the name uncultured archaeon. RNAcentral's name for it is "bacterial SSU rRNA". It matches the Rfam family "Archaeal small subunit ribosomal RNA", at positions 474 to 981 of the family's 1478-position model. The record is from RNAcentral.